Non-coding RNA from Myodes glareolus (Bank vole), 729 nucleotides. The record is from RefSeq and is a predicted model, not a curated record. Lineage: Eukaryota; Metazoa; Chordata; Mammalia; Rodentia; Cricetidae.
CAAAUAAUAUCCAUCCUGACACCAAGAGCCCAUUAGAACCUUACGAUGUACUCAUCUGGAAUAAUCUUAGACCGCCACAGGAUUCCACAGAGAAUCCACAACCUGUCAGCUCUCCUUGAUCAAACCGCAAAUGUGUAAGAGAUCCUGGACUUCAUACUUAGGCAGAAGACCUCUCUUGCAAACCUACUUUGGCCACAUUCUCACCAAAAUGAAAUCAAAGGCUCUCCCUGUCACUGAGAGAAGACUGGAUUGGACAAUUUGAGCUCUAAAGUCACAGGGAAUGUUUCCACAUGAUCUCGGAAGAAAACUUAGAAUUGCAAAGGUGAAGGGGGGCCAACAAGCAACUGCAAAGACUCUGGAAUGGGAAGGAGUUCCUGGCUGAAGGACACACUGCGUGCCUGAGAGAAGAAACUCAAGUCUAUUUCUCCAUCAGUCUGGAAAUAGCUGACUGUGAGUGCCAAGGCACCUGGGGCUUCCAGGAGGCUUUGAGACUGGUACAGGUGGCAAGCCUAGUAGACCUGGCCUGCUUGUCGGGCAGUCUGUAGGAGAGGGUAGGAGCAAGAGAGACAAAAGGCACCCUGUUUCUAACUACAGAGUGUGAAGGGUCACGCAGCACGGAACUGUCCCUACUGAGUGGCCCAGAUGGGUCUCAUAUAAAACGCUGAUGCUACCAUUUCCCCCAGGAGGAUGAGCAAACCAGCCAGCCAACUCCUAGCAAGGAUGCUUGCA